UACGUAGGGUGCGAGCGUUAAUCGGAAUUACUGGGCGUAAAGCGUGCGCAGGCGGCUUUGCAAGACAGAUGUGAAAUCCCCGGGCUCAACCUGGGAACUGCAUUUGUGACUGCAAGGCUAGAGUACGGCAGAGGGGGAUGGAAUUCCGCGUGUAGCAGUGAAAUGCGUAGAGAUGUGGAGGAACACCAAUGGCGAAGGCAAUCCCCUGGGCCUGUACUGACGCUCAUGCACGAAAGCGUGGGGAGCAAACAGG
This 253-nucleotide ribosomal RNA is filed under the name uncultured bacterium. Its description in RNAcentral is "partial 16S ribosomal RNA". It matches the Rfam family "Bacterial small subunit ribosomal RNA", at positions 524 to 776 of the family's 1533-position model. The record is from RNAcentral.